Fibrobacter sp. is the source of this 202-nucleotide non-coding RNA. The record is from Rfam. Lineage: Bacteria; Pseudomonadati; Fibrobacterota; Fibrobacteria; Fibrobacterales; Fibrobacteraceae.
UAUUUUUUUUCAAAGCCUUAUGCCGUGAGAAGCUGCAGGGGUUGUGAAAACUGCCCAUGUAAGAGAAUCCCGUGAAAACCGGGAACGGUCCCGCCGCUGUAAGGGUGUACGAAACUGGCAAGAACCAAUGUUUUCGAAUGUGAAGGAGCCAGCUGUAGGAUGAUCCCCGAGUCAGAAGAACUGUGAGGCUGCCAUAGGCAAA